This 862-nucleotide ribosomal RNA is filed under the name uncultured bacterium. Its description in RNAcentral is "bacterial SSU rRNA". It matches the Rfam family "Bacterial small subunit ribosomal RNA", at positions 28 to 898 of the family's 1533-position model. The record is from RNAcentral.
GAUGAACGCUAGCGGCAGGCUUAACACAUGCAAGUCGAGGGGUAGUCUAGCAAUAGAUGAGACCGGCGCACGGGUGCUUAACGCGUAUGCAAUCUACCUUUUACAGAGGGAUAGCCCAGAGAAAUUUGGAUUAAUACCUCAUAGUAUAACGACUCGGCAUCGAGAUGUUAUUAAAGUUCCAACGGUAAAAGAUGAGCAUGCGUCCCAUUAGCUAGUUGGUGUGGUAACGGCACACCAAGGCAACGAUGGGUAGGGGUCCUGAGAGGGAGAUCCCCCACACUGGUACUGAGACACGGACCAGACUCCUACGGGAGGCAGCAGUGAGGAAUAUUGGUCAAUGGGCGCAAGCCUGAACCAGCCAUGCCGCGUGCAGGAUGACGGUCCUAUGGAUUGUAAACUGCUUUUGUACAGGAAGAAACACUCCCUCGUGAGGGAGCUUGACGGUACUGUAAGAAUAAGGAUCGGCUAACUCCGUGCCAGCAGCCGCGGUAAUACGGAGGAUCCAAGCGUUAUCCGGAAUCAUUGGGUUUAAAGGGUCCGUAGGCGGGUUUAUAAGUCAGUGGUGAAAGCCCAUCGCUCAACGAUGGAACGGCCAUUGAUACUGUAGAUCUUGAAUUAUUAGGAAGUAACUAGAAUAUGUAGUGUAGCGGUGAAAUGCUUAGAGAUUACAUGGAAUACCAAUUGCGAAGGCAGGUUACUACUAAUGGAUUGACGCUGAUGGACGAAAGCGUGGGUAGCGAACAGGAUUAGAUACCCUGGUAGUCCACGCCGUAAACGAUGGAUACUAGCUGUUCGGAGCAAUCUGAGUGGCUAAGCGAAAGUGAUAAGUAUCCCACCUGGGGAGUACGUUCGCAAGAAUGAA